This 459-nucleotide ribosomal RNA is filed under the name uncultured bacterium. RNAcentral describes it as "partial 16S ribosomal RNA". It matches the Rfam family "Bacterial small subunit ribosomal RNA", at positions 338 to 795 of the family's 1533-position model. The record is from RNAcentral.
CCUACGGGAGGCUGCAGUGAGGAAUAUUGGUCAAUGGCCGGGAGGCUGAACCAGCCAAGUCGCGUGAGGGAAGACGGCCCUACGGGUUGUAAACCUCUUUUGUCAGGGAGCAAGGUGCAGGUCGGGACCUGCUGUGCGAGUACCUUAAGAACAAGCAUCGGCUAACUCCGUGCCAGCAGCCGCGGUAAUCCGGAGGAUGCGAGCGUUAUCCGGAUUUAUUGGGUUUAAAGGGUGCGCAGGCGGAGGCACAAGUCAGCGGUAAAAUCGCGGGGCUCAACCCCGCUCCGCCGUUGAAACUGUGUCCCUGGAGUGCGCGAAGGGUAGGCGGAAUGCGUGGUGUAGCGGUGAAAUGCAUAGAUAUCACGCAGAACUCCGAUCGCGAAGGCAGCCUACCGGAGCGCAACUGACGCUCAUGCACGAAAGCGUGGGUAUCGAACAGGAUUAGAUACCCUGGUAGUC